Non-coding RNA from Acanthosepion pharaonis, 109 nucleotides. NCBI's taxonomy places the organism in Eukaryota, Metazoa, Mollusca, Cephalopoda, Sepiida, Sepiidae. The record is from the annotation of a GenBank genome assembly.
CAGCCACAUCACAGUGAAACACCAGUUCCCUUACGAACACUGCAGUUAAGCAACGCCACACCUGGUCAGUACUGAGAUGGGUGACCACUUAAAAAUACUAGAUACUGUA